RNAcentral lists this ribosomal RNA (488 nucleotides) under uncultured bacterium. RNAcentral describes it as "bacterial SSU rRNA". It matches the Rfam family "Bacterial small subunit ribosomal RNA", at positions 45 to 523 of the family's 1533-position model. The record is from RNAcentral.
UGCCUAACACAUGCAAGUCGAGCGAAGCACUUUUACUUCGAUUCCGUUUCGGGAUGAAGAGUGAUUUGACUGAGCGGCGGGACGGGUGAGUAACGCGUGGGUAACCUGCCUCACACGAGGGGGAUAACAGUUAGAAAUGACUGCUAAUACCGCAUAACGACCACAGCACCGCAUGGGUGCAGGGGGUAAAAACUCCGGUGGUGUGAGAUGGACCCGCGUCUGAUUAGCUAGUUGGUAAGGUAACGGCUUACCAAGGCGACGAUCAGUAGCCGACCUGAGAGGGUGACCGGCCACAUUGGGACUGAGACACGGCCCAAACUCCUACGGGAGGCAGCAGUGGGGAAUAUUGCACAAUGGGGGAAACCCUGAUGCAGCGACGCCGCGUGAGCGAAGAAGUAUUUCGGUAUGUAAAGCUCUAUCAGCAGGGAAGAAACUGACGGUACCUGACUAAGAAGCACCGGCUAAAUACGUGCCAGCAGCCGCGGUAA